GCCUUGCUCUGUUUUAAUCUUCAUGCCGAGCAUGUCUGCAGCCAUGCGGGCGCCGCCUUCUUUGGGGCCUCGGCACCAGUGUGCUUCAGUUUCUGGGGAAAAGUAUUGCAAUGCAUUCAGUGGUGAGGUGGUGCCGAGUCGUGGAGGCGCAAGAUUGGCACUGGCGUUGCGAAAAGGAGGUGGGUUUCCCGUAGAUAGCACUGGGAAUGGGCGUAAAACCAGGAAGGCACAGCGAUCGAGGGGUUUUGAUGCUGCGGGGGCAAUCGCGAAGGCCAGCAGGAAGUUCAGAUAGAUCAGGAUAGGAUGCAGGAGGUGGAGAAGGUUAAGAUGGAUCUCCUUCGAGCAGUGAUGGACACUAAAAGGGGUGCACAGGUCACGACAGAGCAGCGUGCCGCAGUAGAAGACGCCAUGAUGGGUGUGGAGAAGUACAACGCGGGAACACCGUUAGUGCUGGACCAACUGCACGGGACUUGGUUACUCCAGUAUACAACUGCCUCUGAAAUCGUAUCGCUCAUACAAGCUGCUGAUCAAUUCCCUCUGCUGCAGGUUGGACAGUUGUACCAGUGCUUUGAUUGCCAAGGGAGAACAGAUGGUGGGACAGUAGAGAACAUUGUGCGCUGGAGUGUGUCAGGACUUUUACAGUUUUACCUUGGUUUCUAUAGCUGUCCGUGUAAUGCAAACACUGAUGGAGCUUAGUGUGAAUUUCUCUGUCAACGGCUUUAGUUGAUCGAGUUAGUAUUUCAUCACUCUUCUAUGUAGAAGAACGAGGGUGCAACUUUUAACGUCGUAGCCAAGUUUGCAAUGGUUGGUCCACGAAUCAUCGUUAUCCAAAAAGUAGAGGCAAGGCUUGGUGAGGUUAAGUCCAGAAUUGGAGUCAUUCAUUGCUCCAGCACUUUUACCUCGAACUUUCAUCAACUUCCAGGUGUGUUGCUACGGAUUUCUUUAGUAACAAUGAGCUUCGACAUUAAUCAGUUUCAUAGCCAUGUACAUUUUGUAGUUGUAAUUUCAUGAUCUUUUUAACCUAUUAAUAAGAAUAGUUGACUUCAUGUUACCAAGUUCUAUGAGGUGAUCAUUGAAAUUUCUCCUUCACAGCUUUUGAUGUUUCUGCGGA
This is a non-coding RNA of Physcomitrium patens, 1111 nucleotides long. The record is from RefSeq and is a predicted model, not a curated record. Lineage: Eukaryota; Viridiplantae; Streptophyta; Bryopsida; Funariales; Funariaceae.